UCGAGAAUUUUUCACAAUGGGCGAAAGCCUGAUGGAGCGACGCCGCGUGGGGGAUGAAUGGCUUCGGCCCGUAAACCCCUGUCAUUCGCGAUCAAACCUGGCUAUUUAGAAGAUGGCCAGCUGAUAGUAGCGGAAGAGGAAGGGACGGCUAACUCUGCGCCAGCAGCCGCGGUAAUACAGAGGUCCCAAGCGUUGUUCGGAUUCACUGGGCGUAAAGGGUGCGUAGGUGGUGAGGCAAGUCGGAUGUGAAAGCUCGGAGCUCAACUCCGAAAUGGCAUUGGAAACUGCCUGGCUCGAGGGUCGGAGGGGGGACUGGAAUUCUCGGUGUAGCAGUGAAAUGCGUAGAUAUCGAGAGGAACACCAGUGGCGAAGGCGAGCCCCUGGACGACUCCUGACACUGAGGCACGAAAGCUAGGGGAGCAAACA
Molecule: ribosomal RNA, 426 nt
Filed under: uncultured bacterium
Lineage: Bacteria
Description: bacterial SSU rRNA
Rfam family: Bacterial small subunit ribosomal RNA
Source: RNAcentral